CUUGAUUUAUGAUAAGAGGUCCAGCCUGCCCAGUGAAUUUUUAACGGCCGCGGUAUCCUAACCGCGCGAAGGUAGCAUAAUCACUUGUUCUUUAAAUGGGGACUCGUAUCAACGGCAUCACGAGGGUUUUACUGUCUCCUCUUUUUGAUCAGUGAAAUUGAUCUUCCCGUGAAGAAGCGGGAAUACUCAUAUAAGACGAGAAGACCCCAUGGAGCUUAAAACCAAAUGGUAACUUAACCACAUAUUUCCUUAUAACUUUAAGCCUAUACUAUGAGGUUUUUGGUUGGGGUGACCGCGGAGUAAAACAUAUCCUCCACGACGGAAAGACUACAAUCUUUAUUUAAGAACCACAGUUCUAAAAAUUAGCAUACUAACGUUUACUGACCCGAUAAUCGAUCAACGGAACA
Molecule: ribosomal RNA, 407 nt
Filed under: Polypedates mutus (Burmese whipping frog)
Lineage: Eukaryota; Metazoa; Chordata; Amphibia; Anura; Rhacophoridae
Description: partial 16S ribosomal RNA
Rfam family: Bacterial large subunit ribosomal RNA
Source: RNAcentral